AGUGAACGCUGGCGGCAGGCCUAACACAUGCAAGUCGAACGGAAGCACAGUAAGAGCUCGUUCUUACGGGUGGCGAGUGGCGGACGGGUGAGGAAUACAUCGGAAUCUACUUUUUCGUGGGGGAUAACGUAGGGACACUUACGCUAAUACCGCAUACGACCUACGGGUGAAAGCAGGGGAUCUUCGGACCUUGCGCGACUGAAUGAGCCGAUGUCGGAUUAGCUAGUUGGCGGGGUAAAGGCCCACCAAGGCGACGAUCCGUAGCUGGUCUGAGAGGAUGAUCAGCCACACUGGAACUGAGACACGGUCCAGACUCCUACGGGAGGCAGCAGUGGGGAAUAUUGGACAAUGGGCGCAAGCCUGAUCCAGCCAUGCCGCGUGGGUGAAGAAGGCCUUCGGGUUGUAAAGCCCUUUUAUUGGGGAAGAAAAGCAGCAGGUUAAUACCCCGCUGUUCUGACGGUACCCAAAGAAUAAGCACCGGUUAACUUCGUG
Molecule: ribosomal RNA, 492 nt
Filed under: uncultured bacterium
Lineage: Bacteria
Description: partial 16S ribosomal RNA
Rfam family: Bacterial small subunit ribosomal RNA
Source: RNAcentral